GUACGACGGAGCACGUGAAAUUCCGUCGGAAUCUGGGAGGACCAUCUCCUAAGGCUAAAUACUCUCUAGUGACCGAUAGUGAACCAGUACCGUGAGGGAAAGGUGAAAAGCACCCCGGAAGGGGAGUGAAAUAGAACCUGAAACCGUGUGCUUACAAGUAGUCAGAGCCCGUUAAUGGGUGAUGGCGUGCCUUUUGUAGAAUGAACCGGCGAGUUACGAUUUGAUGCAAGGUUAAGCAGUAAAUGUGGAGCCGUAGCGAAAGCGAGUCUGAAUAGGGCGUUUAGUAUUUGGUCGUAGACCCGAAACCAGGUGAUCUACCCUUGGUCAGGUUGAAGUUCAGGUAACACUGAAUGGAGGACCGAACCGACUUACGUUGAAAAGUGAGCGGAUGAACUGAGGGUAGCGGAGAAAUUCCAAUCGAACCUGGAGAUAGCUGGUUCUCUCCGAAAUAGCUUUAGGGCUAGCCUCAAGUGAUGAUUAUUGGAGGUAGAGCACUGUUUGGACGAGGGGCCCCUCUCGGGUUACCGAAUUCAGACAAACUCCGAAUGCCAAUUAAUUUAACUUGGGAGUCAGAACAUGGGUGAUAAGGUCCGUGUUCGAAAGGGAAACAGCCCAGACCACCAGCUAAGGUCCCAAAAUAUAUGUUAAGUGGAAAAGGAUGUGGCGUUGCCCAGACAACUAGGAUGUUGGCUUAGAAGCAGCCAUCAUUUAAAGAGUGCGUAAUAGCUCACUAGUCGAGUGACACUGCGCCGAAAAUGUACCGGGGCUAAACAUAUUACCGAAGCUGUGGAUUGUCCUUUGGACAAUGGUAGGAGAGCGUUCUAAGGGCGUUGAAGCAUGAUCGUAAGGACAUGUGGAGCGCUUAGAAGUGAGAAUGCCGGUGUGAGUAGCGAAAGACGGGUGAGAAUCCCGUCCACCGAUUGACUAAGGUUUCCAGAGGAAGGCUCGUCCGCUCUGGGUUAGUCGGGUCCUAAGCUGAGGCCGACAGGCGUAGGCGAUGGAUAACAGGUUGAUAUUCCUGUACCACCUAUAAUCGUUUUAAUCGAUGGGGGGAC
RNAcentral lists this ribosomal RNA (1055 nucleotides) under Staphylococcus aureus. RNAcentral describes it as "partial 23S ribosomal RNA". It matches the Rfam family "Bacterial large subunit ribosomal RNA", at positions 412 to 1473 of the family's 2925-position model. Lineage: Bacteria; Bacillati; Bacillota; Bacilli; Caryophanales; Staphylococcaceae. The record is from RNAcentral.